AACGAACGCUGGCGGCACGCCUAAUACAUGCAAGUCGUACGAGAAAGUUGGGCAACCCGAGUGAGUACAGUGGCGCACGGGUGAGUAACACGUAGGUGACCUGCCCUUUAGAGUGGGGAUAACAGGAAGAAGUUUCUGCUAAUACCACAUACGUUGAGAGAAAGUGAAAGUUAUCUCAGGAAAGAUGGCGACCCUUUUAUAGGAGCUAUCGCUAAAGGAGGCCUGC
This 226-nucleotide ribosomal RNA is filed under the name uncultured bacterium. RNAcentral describes it as "partial 16S ribosomal RNA". It matches the Rfam family "Bacterial small subunit ribosomal RNA", at positions 29 to 234 of the family's 1533-position model. The record is from RNAcentral.